Molecule: ribosomal RNA, 279 nt
Filed under: uncultured bacterium
Lineage: Bacteria
Description: partial 16S ribosomal RNA
Rfam family: Bacterial small subunit ribosomal RNA
Source: RNAcentral
UGCCAGCAGCCGCGGUAAGACGAACCGGUCGAACGUUAUUCGGAAUCACUGGGCUUAAAGAGUGCGUAGGCGGUCUUGCAGGUGAGGUGUGAAAUCCCCCGGCCCAACCGGGGAACUGCGCUUCAAACCGCAAGGCUUGAGGGAGAUAGAGGUGAGCGGAACUGAUGGUGGAGCGGUGAAAUGCGUUGAUAUCAUCAGGAACACCUGUGGCGAAAGCGGCUCACUGGGUCUCUUCUGACGCUGAGGCACGAAAGCUAGGGUAGCGAACAGGAUUAGAUA